GGAGAUUUAGUUAAAAUAUAAUACUAGAUUGUCAGCCUAGAGUUACUUUAAAGAAGUAUUCUCCU
RNAcentral lists this transfer RNA (65 nucleotides) under Eualetes tulipa. RNAcentral describes it as "tRNA-Asp". Lineage: Eukaryota; Metazoa; Mollusca; Gastropoda; Littorinimorpha; Vermetidae. The record is from RNAcentral.